This is a long non-coding RNA of Pieris napi, 324 nucleotides long. RefSeq lists it as uncharacterized. The transcript is spliced from 4 exons. The record is from RefSeq and is a predicted model, not a curated record. Lineage: Eukaryota; Metazoa; Arthropoda; Insecta; Lepidoptera; Pieridae.
GUACAAUCAUAUUUUUAUCAGUAACAUGUAUCGCUACGCACUCGUUUUGUUUCUGUUUAUAAAUGACGAUAUCUUCGGAAAUGCAAUGUCAAGACAAAAACGGUGUAUCGUGGUCCAGAAGCAGUCAACAGGUGGUGGUGUCAGCAGUUCAGAGGAUUCUGACAGGCGAUCAAGUCACCGCUAUUCAGACAGAGGAUUUGAGGGACUCAACCGUGAUUCGCAGAUACUCCCAGAAUUACUGAACUACAAAGUGCCGAUAAAGAAAAUCCAGGAUUUAUUUAAUAUAAGGAAAUUCAUUCAAAUAUAAUAAAACAAAUGAACACA